UACGUAGGGUGCGAGCGUUAAUCGGAAUUACUGGGCGUAAAGCGUGCGCAGGCGGCGAUGUAAGACAGGUGUGAAAUCCCCGGGCUUAACCUGGGAACUGCAUUUGUGACUGCAUCGCUGGAGUGCGGCAGAGGGGGAUGGAAUUCCGCGUGUAGCAGUGAAAUGCGUAGAUAUGCGGAGGAACACCGAUGGCGAAGGCAAUCCCCUGGGCCUGCACUGACGCUCAUGCACGAAAGCGUGGGGAGCAAACAGG
This 253-nucleotide ribosomal RNA is filed under the name uncultured bacterium. RNAcentral describes it as "partial 16S ribosomal RNA". It matches the Rfam family "Bacterial small subunit ribosomal RNA", at positions 524 to 776 of the family's 1533-position model. The record is from RNAcentral.